AACCCUGCAGGGUCCACAGUCUUAUUAGUGAUGAUCAUCUGUGAUAUUAUGAAUUAAGGACAUAGCCCAGCCCUCAGUCAGAACUACUCAUGCACUCUAAGUAAAAAACACUUUGAAUCCCCUUUAAGGGAUAGACAAAUGAGUCCUACAGGAAGAGCAGUUAGAUUUCAUCCAUCAACAAGGUCUCAGUGCAUAUCAUGGCUUCUUAUGCCUGCAUCAGGAUUCUUUCUUUCUCUAAGGACAGAAGUAGUGUGAAGGAAAGAGGAAAACUUCUAGGAUCAGUCACAAUCCUAUUUACUUGUCCAAUUCCAUCCCCCAGCCCAUAUACAUUCCAGAGAUCUUAUUGUUUAAAUCAGAGUAUUAUGAGGUGAGACUCAACUGUACACCAAGUAACAUGACAGCAGAAAACUGUCACAAAAAUGGGUUAUGAAGUAGAGAUUCUUGAAGUCAAAGAUCUGUAGGUUGGAUAUGAAGAUACAUGGAAGGGAACUCUCGGGCUUAGGAUCCCACAAUAAAACUGCAGAUUGGUGAUUCAACAGGAUUGCUAUGAUUGAGUCUAGGGCCAUGAGAGAUAUUAGAGAGAUCACUUGAGACAAAGGUCAAAGAAUCUUAAGGACUGAACAGCUAGGAGCCAAGGAAGUACACAGUCAGAGGGACCAUGAGCUCUUCCUAUGAGGACAAAGUAAACGCCAAGUCCUGAGCUCCAAAGGUAAAGGAAGAGGGAGGCUGAACAGGGAUAUGAGGACAUUACAGAUAGUAUGUUCCAUCCCCCACUAUGAAUCAUUCCCUAGUCUUGGGACUUGCCUCCAGAAUUCCAGCAAGACAAAUGGAAUCACAAUCUAAAUGAACACUCAAGUGUCUUCCAGAUUUCAAGUUGCCUCAGAAGGAAGUUGAUUAAGAGGAAUGGAGAGAAUCAGAGAAGAUAAAUUAGGCUAAUAGCCCUCGUAUCCUGAAAAGAGGCUUUGCUAAAAAAACCGAUCUCAGACAAGACAGACGUCCAUUUUGUAGGACUAUUUUGAACCCUUCCUGAAAGAAGGUCUGGAUGGCUUUAGGGCAGAAGGUAGCUCUAAAGGAGGAACGAGCUCCACCUGAAGAGGUCGUUUCCAGUAUUUGAUCAACCCAAAGUGUUUCUUCAACUCAGUACCAAGUUUCACUUUUUCACUAGUGAGAUGAAAGAAUGUUCAGUUUAUUAUCCAAGCUCGACCUCUUAGGCAUAUUUUGUGAUUAGGAGUGAGAGGAAAGGAAAGGAAAGGAGACUGAAUAUAGGUGCCAUCUUCAUUUUGCCUGUCUUUCCUACAGCAAAGCAGUGGGAAAUUCCCUCUCAAAGGAGGCAGAAACAGAAGAGCAGAGAGAAUUAUACAUUGACAGAAAAGAGAAACCAGCUUAGAUGUCUCCAGGACUCUAAGGCCUCAAGGUCAACCUUCCCUUCAAUCAGCAGCAGACCAGAUAGGCUGGGUAAGUCUUGCUUAAGUAGAAGGUGAGAGAACAUGACUGGUUAGAGUUGGAGGCUAGACACGAUUUGUCAGGCUGGAGCCAAUGAGCUUCCUCAAUCUAAGUCAGAAGUAAAGUGGCAGCUGAGACUAGUGCUGAUCUUUUUUUUUUUUAAUUGGGAGGCCCCUGAUUGUGUCCACCUGUAACUAUAGUAUGAUAAUUCACCUUCCAACAAUUAUUAUCAGGAUAUGCAAGAAAAAAAGUUGCAACUGCCAGAAAUGGGCUAGAAUCUUAAAUUUGAUAGUGAAAAUAAACUCAGUAAAUAGUGAUACUACACCAUUCCAUAUGGAAAGCAAUAGAUAUUUCUUUUUUAAAAUAUUAUAGCAGAAGACCCAAGACAUAUCACUUUCUAUGUGAGCAGAAAUCACUGCCAAUUCCCUGUUUUUUAAGGUCUCUUUUUACCGGCCCUAAACCUGUCCCUUCAGAUACAUGUUUGGGCAAAACAAGAUGUGUAACUAGUGUGCAUUCAGUCACUUCAUGGUCUCAAAUGUUCCUUUAGAUAGCUGCAUUGAUAUCAAAACCCACUUUUCA
Molecule: long non-coding RNA, 2022 nt
Filed under: Equus caballus (horse)
Lineage: Eukaryota; Metazoa; Chordata; Mammalia; Perissodactyla; Equidae
Description: lncRNA (ENSECAG00000057632.1)
Source: RNAcentral